GCGACAGGCUUAACACAUGCAAGUCGAGGGGCAUCGGUGGUGAAGGCUUGCCUUUACCAGCCGGCGACCGGCGCACGGGUGAGUAACACGUAUGCAACCUGCCUGCCACAGCCGGAUAAUCGGGAGAAAUUCCGUCUAAUACGGCAUAAUGCACCUAUGGGACAUCCUGUUGGUGCCAAAGGUUGAUUCCGGUGGCGGAUGGGCAUGCGUCGCAUUAGUUAGUUGGCGGUGUAACGGACCACCAAGACGACGAUGCGUAGGGGUUCUGAGAGGAAGGUCCCCCACACUGGUACUGAGACACGGACCAGACUCCUACGGGAGGCAGCAGUGAGGAAUAUUGGUCAAUGGGCGGGAGCCUGAACCAGCCAAGUCGCGUGAGGGAUGACGGCCCUAUGGGUUGUAAACCUCUUUUGCCGGGGAGCAAAGUGCCGCACGUGUGCGGUUUGGAGAGUACCCGGAGAAAAAGCAUCGGCUAACUCCGUGCCAGCAGCCGCGGUAAUACGGAGGAUGCGAGCGUUAUCCGGAUUUAUUGGGUUUAAAGGGUGCGUAGGCGGACGCUUAAGUCAGCGGUAAAAUUGCGGGGCUCAACCUCCUCGAGCCGUUGAAACUGGGUGCCUUGAGUGGGCGAGAAGUACGCGGAAUGCGUGGUGUACCGGUGAAAUGCAUACAUAUCACGCCGAACCUCCAUUGCGAAGGCAGCAUACCGGCCCCCCAACUGACCGCUAAAGCCCGAAGGCGUGGGUAUCGAACAGGAUUAAGAUACCCCUGGUAGUCCACGCAGUAAACGAUGAAUGCUAGUUGUCCGGGGCGAUUGAGUUCUGGGUGACACAGCGAAAAGCGUUAAGCAUUCCACCUGGGGAGUACGCCGGCAACGGUGAAACUCAAAGGAAUUGACGGGGGCCCGCACAAGCGGAGGAACAUGUGGUUUAAUUCGAUGAUACGCGAGGAACCUUACCCGGGCUCAAACGCAGGAGGGAUGUUUUUGAAAGGAGGCAGCCAGCAAUGGUCUCCUGCGAGGUGCUGCAUGGUUGUCGUCAGCUCGUGCCGUGAGGUGUCGGCUUAAGUGCCAUAACGAGCGCAACCCCUACCUACAGUUGCCAUCGCGUGAUGGCGGGCACUCUGUGGGGACUGCCUGCGCAAGCAGUGAGGAAGGCGGGGAUGACGUCAAAUCAGCACGGCCCUUACGUCCGGGGCGACACACGUGUUACAAUGGCAGGUACAGCGGGAAGCCACCCGGCGACGGGGCGCGGAACCCGAAAACCUGUCUCAGUUCGGAUUGGAGUCUGCAACCCGACUCCAUGAAGCUGGAUUCGCUAGUAAUCGAGCAUCAGCCACGGCGCGGUGAAUACGUUCCCG
Molecule: ribosomal RNA, 1356 nt
Filed under: uncultured bacterium
Lineage: Bacteria
Description: bacterial SSU rRNA
Rfam family: Bacterial small subunit ribosomal RNA
Source: RNAcentral